RNAcentral lists this non-coding RNA (158 nucleotides) under Mucochytrium quahogii. Lineage: Eukaryota; Bigyra; Thraustochytrida; Thraustochytriidae. The record is from RNAcentral.
GGAGGAGGUGAGCUAACGGUUUUCGAGGAUGGGACGUUUGUGUCUGCAGCGAAAGCUAGCUUGCAUGUCUCUGGAGUUUUGUCGAUUAGUCUUAAAGCUCUUGUUGAAAUCAAUGGUCCCUUUCAUACCACGCAUGACGGAUCAGUUAACGUUUUGGG